RNAcentral lists this long non-coding RNA (971 nucleotides) under Amborella trichopoda. RNAcentral's name for it is "long non-coding RNA (ATRI_LNC003585)". The record is from RNAcentral. Lineage: Eukaryota; Viridiplantae; Streptophyta; Magnoliopsida; Amborellales; Amborellaceae.
AAAAUUUGAUUCUACUUUGUUGCAAGCAGGUUGAGGAAUGCUGCCUUUGUCGAUUUCAAGGAUGAUGUUUUGGCUUCUCAAGCACACAACUCAACAGGUGCUUUUAGGGGUCCCAUCGGUAUUUUUGUGUUUUUGGACCUUAUUACAUUUGAAAUAUUUGUCUCAUUUCUUUUCUGUAUAGUCACUUUAUGUAGAAAGUUUUGCAACAUCAAUUGAAGGAAAAUGCGGUCCAGAUAUUGAGGACUUCUGGUAAAGUAAUUUUUUAGGGAGAUCUUAAAGUUUUGCAACAUCAGUUGGAGCAAAAUGUGGUCCAGAUAUUGUGGACUUUUGGUAAAGUUUUUAGGGAGAUCUUAGGACAUAGGUAAAACCAUGUUCUUUUGUUUGCUUCAAUUUGUUUAACAACGAAAAAUUUGCAUAUGGGUGGAGGUAUAGAUUUAGAAUAUUUAAAAAAAUCUUCCAAUAGAAGCUUGUCUUUCCUUGGUAGCUCUUUAUUUGGUUGUUCUCUGUUGGGAUCGUUUGCUCUCUCUUUUUCUUUGUCCAUGUUAAUUUUGAGCUUAUCUUUUAGGUUUCAUUUUUAAGUUGUGCUUGCUUUUAUGUUGUUUUCACGUUUUUGAUGUCUAUUUCAGUUUCUUUUCUUUUUAUUUGAUUUAGAGGCAUUUGUCAACAUGAUUAGUUUUGUCUGUAGAGGCUUGGAACCUAGCCUUUUAUGUGGAGCUCUCUUUUUCUUUUACUUUAAGCACUGUUGUUAAUUUCUAGAAGCAGGUUCUUUCUGGCAGUAAGUUUCUUUUUCAUCAAUAUUUGCAAAUAAGUGCUCUGAGCUUGUAUUUUGAGUUAUUGGUACUUUCCUUUCAUGCUUUGAAUAUGUAAUGCAAGUUGACAUUUCUUGGGAAGGUUAUAUCUGUUGAGAGAGCAAGCACGUUGGCAGCAAAUAAGAAGCAGAGAACUGAGGAAGUGUGUAAGCAGGAUGCAUC